RNAcentral lists this ribosomal RNA (249 nucleotides) under uncultured bacterium. RNAcentral's name for it is "partial 16S ribosomal RNA". It matches the Rfam family "Bacterial small subunit ribosomal RNA", at positions 524 to 772 of the family's 1533-position model. The record is from RNAcentral.
UACGUAGGGUGCAAGCGUUAAUCGGAAUUACUGGGCGUAAAGCGUGCGCAGGCGGUUUUGUAAGUCUGUCGUGAAAGCCCCGGGCUCAACCUGGGAAUUGCGAUGGAGACUGCAAGGCUUGAAUCUGGCAGAGGGGGGUAGAAUUCCACGUGUAGCAGUGAAAUGCGUAGAGAUGUGGAGGAACACCGAUGGCGAAGGCAGCCCCCUGGGUCAAGAUUGACGCUCAUGCACGAAAGCGUGGGGAGCAAA